This 327-nucleotide ribosomal RNA is filed under the name Vibrio parahaemolyticus. RNAcentral's name for it is "partial 23S ribosomal RNA". It matches the Rfam family "Bacterial large subunit ribosomal RNA", at positions 2038 to 2364 of the family's 2925-position model. The record is from RNAcentral. Lineage: Bacteria; Pseudomonadati; Pseudomonadota; Gammaproteobacteria; Vibrionales; Vibrionaceae.
GAAAUUGAAAUCGCUGUGAAGAUGCAGUGUACCCGCGGCUAGACGGAAAGACCCCGUGAACCUUUACUACAGCUUGGCACUGAACAUUGACCCUACAUGUGUAGGAUAGGUGGGAGGCUUUGAAGCACGUACGCCAGUAUGUGUGGAGUCGUCCUUGAAAUACCACCCUUGUAGUGUUGAUGUUCUAACGUCGACCCCUUAUCGGGGUUGCGGACAGUGCCUGGUGGGUAGUUUGACUGGGGCGGUCUCCUCCCAAAGAGUAACGGAGGAGCACGAAGGUGGGCUAAUCACGGUUGGACAUCGUGAGGUUAGUGCAAUGGCAUAAGC